This is a long non-coding RNA of Leptopilina heterotoma, 1125 nucleotides long. RefSeq lists it as uncharacterized. The transcript is spliced from 4 exons. The record is from RefSeq and is a predicted model, not a curated record. Lineage: Eukaryota; Metazoa; Arthropoda; Insecta; Hymenoptera; Figitidae.
AGGUACUUCGUGGAUCAUUUUCAUUGGCUAUAGAUUUUUUUGUAAAUUUGUUGUCCCUACUUAUAGAUAUAUACUAAAAAGUGUAUUUAGAAGCAACAUUGUCAUUACAGAAAUUCCAUAUCAGGGGUAGAAGAAAAGUAAAAAUUUUCGUUAAAAUAAUUCUACAAUUAUUGUGUACCGUUUUCUUGAUAUGUAUGGGAUUCUUUAAUAAUUACAAGAAAGUAGUGACAGAAGCACAAGAGAUUGAUGAAAAUUCAAUAAAUAAUGAACAGAUAAUAUAUUAAAAAUUAGUAAAUCCAAUUUUCAAGAUGUAAUUGCUUCAUUUACUGAUACAGCAAUGGUCAUUUAUUAUUUACACCAAAAACAAUACAAGUUUUUGUUACAUUCGAUGAAUAAGAGUAAAGAAAUGAAAAAAAUAAUGCUGUUAGAUUGUGUGCCAGAAUUAAAUGGAAAUAAAGAAACAUUUGAAAAACUGUAUAUACAUUUUUUGGCGUCUUAAAAAAUUAUUUAACAAAUUUUGAUCUAAAUAAUAUUUUAGUACUAAAAUCAGUACAUGAAAAAGAAAAUUUCUUUUCGAAAUAUAUAUUUUUACAAAAUUUGAAAAUUAAAAUUGUUGAAGUGCUUUUUAAGAACAAAUGAAUAAAUGACUUAUAAUAAUUUUUUAUUCUUAAAAAUACACAAAUGCCUGAAAAAAUAAAUAAUCUUUAAAAAUAAAAUCUUUAAAAGUAAGUUGAACUGAAAAGAAAUCUUUGUCAAAUCGAAGAAACGAAAAUUAUGACAUAAAAUAAACUUUAUCAACGAACGAGUUCUGAACGGAAUAUUAAAAUAAUAAUAAAAAAAAAGAAGAAAAAAACCUGUUUUGUGAAAAAAAAGAGUUGAUGUUUUUAAAAGAAAAUUGUACCUAAUUGUAAUUUUCUUUUUAGUAAAUUUCACGACUUCUAAAGUAAGUUUCAUUUUACUAAAUUUGUAUAAAUAUACAAAAGAAAAAUUAGGCCAGAAGAAAGAAAGAAGAAAUCGUUUAGAACUGAAGAAAAAUCUUUGUCAAAUCGAAAGAGCGAAAAAACAAAAAUUAUGACGUAAACAAACUUUUUCAACGAACGAGUUCUGAACGGAAUAUUAAAAUAA